This 489-nucleotide long non-coding RNA is filed under the name Musa acuminata (dwarf banana). RNAcentral describes it as "long non-coding RNA (MACU_LNC005555)". Lineage: Eukaryota; Viridiplantae; Streptophyta; Magnoliopsida; Zingiberales; Musaceae. The record is from RNAcentral.
GACGACAUCAGGAGCUCGGCGAAGCGCCGGGAGUCGAUCCCCCGCGCCCGGUUCUUCUCGAAAUCGAUCCCGUUGGACCUGAGGAGGUCGAUGGACUCGGGGGCGUAGCGGUCGCGGUAGAUGUCGAAAUCGCGAAAGUUGAACUCCCAGACGUAGCGGACGGAGCCGCCGGCGCCGAGGUCGGGGAGGUUGCCGGCGGCGUCGGAGAGGGUGAGGCCCACCUGGAUGAGGUGGAGGGCGUCGACGUUGGCCUUGAGGAGGGCAUACCGUUCGGCGGGGCAGAGGAUGGCGGGGUGCUUCCGGGAGCGGUGGACGACGCCGGGGAACUCCGUGUCCAUGGCGGCGAAGGGGUGACACUCGACGGCCUCGCGGAUGAGGUCGAAUUCCGCCUCCAGGUUAUCGGCCCACACGGAGCGGACCUGGACCUCGAUCGGCUCUUUUGCAUCUUCCAAAGAAGGCAUCUUUUGGCCGCUAAUCUGCUUCGAUCCG